AUCGCUUCUCGGCCUUUUGGCUAAGAUCAAGUGUAGUAUGUGUAAUACAGCUGAAGUGCUCUGGUUGAAAGCCUGGAAUACCUUGUCACUGGAGAGAAUAUACUCACUGUAUAUAGUGUUUUCCUUUUGUUUCCCCAAGAUUCCUCUUUUUAAAAAACGUACUUGUAAUGUUAACACUUCUCCUGAUGAGCGCUCUAAGU
Molecule: small nuclear RNA, 200 nt
Organism: Eublepharis macularius
Lineage: Eukaryota; Metazoa; Chordata; Lepidosauria; Squamata; Eublepharidae
Product: U2 spliceosomal RNA
Exons: 1
Source: RefSeq, a predicted model, not a curated record